Molecule: ribosomal RNA, 569 nt
Filed under: uncultured bacterium
Lineage: Bacteria
Description: bacterial SSU rRNA
Rfam family: Bacterial small subunit ribosomal RNA
Source: RNAcentral
UCCUACGGGAGGCAGCAGUGGGGAAUAUUGGGCAAUGGGCGAAAGCCUGACCCAGCGACGCCGCGUGCGGGAUGAAGGCCUUCGGGUUGUAAACCGCUUUCAGCAGGGAAGAAGCGAAAGUGACGGUACCUGAAGAAGAAGCACCGGCUAACUAUGUGCCAGCAGCCGCGGUAAUACAUAGGGUGCAAGCGUUGUCCGGAAUUAUUGGGCGUAAAGAGCUCGUAGGUGGUUCGUUACGUCGGAUGUGAAAACCUGAGGCUCAACCUCAGGCCUGCAUUCGAUACGGGCGAACUUGAGUGUGGUAGGGGAGGCUGGAAUUCCUGGUGUAGCGGUGGAAUGCGCAGACAUCAGGAGGAACACCAAUGGCGAAGGCAGGCCUCUGGGCCACUACUGACACUGAGGAGCGAAAGCGUGGGGAGCAAACAGGAUUAGAUACCCUGGUAGUCCACGCUGUAAACGGUGGGCACUAGUUGUGGGAACCUUCCACGGUUUCUGCGACGUAGCAAACGCAUUAAGUGCCCCGCCUGGGGAGUACGAUCGCAAGAUUAAAACUCAAAUGAAUUGACGGA